Non-coding RNA from Macaca mulatta (Rhesus monkey), 680 nucleotides. The record is from RefSeq and is a predicted model, not a curated record. NCBI's taxonomy places the organism in Eukaryota, Metazoa, Chordata, Mammalia, Primates, Cercopithecidae.
CCGCUAUUGACUGAAUCUGCUGAUGUGAAACUCGCAGAUACAGACGGGCAGCCUUUGGUCAGCAAAGAGUCACGUCUACCCAGCUGGAGCUCCUGAUCUACUCAGCCACAGAUACUCGUGCUGUUUCCUCAAGCUCUGUCCAUUGGGACUUCCAACCCCUUCGGGAGUCCAGAACUUCUUCAUUCUGCAAAACUGAAACUUUGUACACGUUGACCAACAUCCGUGUCCCACCUUGAAGAGACCUAUGUGUCCCUUCCUUCAGCUUCUGUCCCGAAGUUAAGUGGUUCCUACCAUGGAGAAGACCACAGAAUGUGUGCUAGGAAAUAAAGCCGGUUGAACAUAUGGAAGUACUUUAUAGGGCGGAUGCACAGGUGGAAGGAGAAACAUGACCACUUAGACCCUUGAAGAAGAGCAUGACAUGUGAAAUCAGGUACUGCACCAUUUCUCAUGUGAAAGCGCUAGGUUGGCAGCAUAUUAGCUGAAAAUUAAAAUUAAUCUGUUAUGAAUAGUUGGCCAUGAAGUUAGUUCAUUUGUAACGUGUAUUUGAUGCCUCUACUCUUUUUAAAAAUAGUUAAAAUUCAACUCAGUAGCCUCACAAGUAAAAUGUGUAGAACUAGUUCCCACUGGCUUUGUAGUGACCUAGAAAUUCUAAACCAAAUAAAGCAAAGUGGAGCAUGAAG